This 500-nucleotide ribosomal RNA is filed under the name uncultured bacterium. Its description in RNAcentral is "partial 16S ribosomal RNA". It matches the Rfam family "Bacterial small subunit ribosomal RNA", at positions 30 to 523 of the family's 1533-position model. The record is from RNAcentral.
AUUGAACGCUGGCGGAAUGCUUUACACAUGCAAGUCGAACGGCAGCACGGACUUCGGUCUGGUGGCGAGUGGCGAACGGGUGAGUAAUAUAUCGGAACGUGCCCAGUCGUGGGGGAUAACGUAGUGAAAAUUACGCUAAUACCGCAUACGAUCUACGGAUGAGAGCGGGGGAUAGCAAGACCUCGCGCGAUUGGAGCGGCCGAUAUCAGAUUAGGUAGUUGGUGGGGUAAAGGCUCACCAAGCCAACGAUCUGUAGCUGGUCUGAGAGGACGACCAGCCACACUGGGACUGAGACACGGCCCAGACUCCCACGGGAGGCAGCAGUGGGGAAUUUUGGACAAUGGACGCAAGUCUGAUCUAGCCAUUCCGCGUGCAGGACGAAGGCCUUCGGGUUGUAAACUGCUUUUGUACAGAACGAAAAGGUUUCUAUUAAUACUAGGAGCUCAUGACGGUACUGUAAGAAUAAGCACCGGCUAACUACGUGCCAGCCGCCGCGGUAA